RNAcentral lists this ribosomal RNA (711 nucleotides) under uncultured bacterium. RNAcentral's name for it is "bacterial SSU rRNA". It matches the Rfam family "Bacterial small subunit ribosomal RNA", at positions 90 to 819 of the family's 1533-position model. The record is from RNAcentral.
ACUUAGUGGCGGACGGGUGAGUAACGCGUGGAUAACCUGCCUUACACUGGGGGAUAACACUUAGAAAUAGGUGCUAAUACCGCAUAAGCGCACAGAGCCGCAUGGCUCAGUGUGAAAAACUCCGGUGGUGUAAGAUGGAUCCGCGUCUGAUUAGCUAGUUGGCGGGGUAGAAGCCCACCAAGGCGACGAUCAGUAGCCGGCCUGAGAGGGUGAACGGCCACAUUGGGACUGAGACACGGCCCAAACUCCUACGGGAGGCAGCAGUGGGGAAUAUUGCACAAUGGGGGAAACCCUGAUGCAGCAACGCCGCGUGAGUGAAGAAGUCAUUCGUGAUGUAAAGCUCUAUCAGCAGGGAAGAAAAUGACGGUACCUGAGUAAGAAGCCCCGGCUAACUACGUGCCAGCAGCCGCGGUAAUACGUAGGGGGCAAGCGUUAUCCGGAUUUACUGGGUGUAAAGGGAGCGUAGACGGCCAGACAAGUCUGAAGUGAAAAUCCAGCGCUUAACGUUGGAAGUGCUUUGGAAACUGCCGGGCUAGAGUGCAGGAGGGGCAGGCGGAAUUCCUAGUGUAGCGGUGAAAUGCGUAGAUAUUAGGAGGAACACCAGUGGCGAAGGCGGCCUGCUGGACUGCAACUGACGUUGAGGCUCGAAGGCGUGGGGAGCAAACAGGAUUAGAUACCCCGGUAGUCCACGCGGUAAACGAUGAUUACUAG